GCAGAGGUGGUUGAGCUUGGCCAAAGGCGCCGGACUUGAAAUCCGGUUCUCCACUGGGGAGCGGGGGUUCAAAUCCCUCCCUCUGCG
This 87-nucleotide transfer RNA is filed under the name Methanococcus maripaludis. It matches the Rfam family "tRNA". From Rfam's summary of the family: Transfer RNA (tRNA) molecules are approximately 80 nucleotides in length. Their secondary structure includes four short double-helical elements and three loops (D, anti-codon, and T loops). Lineage: Archaea; Methanobacteriati; Methanobacteriota; Methanococci; Methanococcales; Methanococcaceae. RNAcentral also lists the same sequence under 9 other names. The record is from Rfam by way of RNAcentral.